GAAGGUAUAGCUCAAGUGGUAGAGUGCAUGCUUAGCAUGCACAAGGUCCUGAGUUCAAUCCCCAGUACCUCUU
Molecule: transfer RNA, 73 nt
Filed under: Camelus bactrianus (Bactrian camel)
Lineage: Eukaryota; Metazoa; Chordata; Mammalia; Artiodactyla; Camelidae
Also listed under: 3 other names
Rfam family: tRNA
About the family: Transfer RNA (tRNA) molecules are approximately 80 nucleotides in length.
Source: Rfam by way of RNAcentral